This 76-nucleotide transfer RNA is filed under the name Candidatus Bathyarchaeota archaeon. RNAcentral describes it as "tRNA-Ala". It matches the Rfam family "tRNA". From Rfam's summary of the family: Transfer RNA (tRNA) molecules are approximately 80 nucleotides in length. Their secondary structure includes four short double-helical elements and three loops (D, anti-codon, and T loops). Further hydrogen bonds mediate the characteristic L-shaped molecular structure. tRNAs have two regions of fundamental functional importance: the anti-codon, which is responsible for specific mRNA codon recognition, and the 3' end, to which the tRNAs corresponding amino acid is attached (by aminoacyl-tRNA synthetases). tRNAs cope with the degeneracy of the genetic code in two manners: having more than one tRNA (with a specific anti-codon) for a particular amino acid; and 'wobble' base-pairing, i.e. permitting non-standard base-pairing at the 3rd anti-codon position. Lineage: Archaea; Thermoproteati; Candidatus Bathyarchaeota. The record is from RNAcentral.
GGGCUGGUAGUUCAGCGGUAUGAAUGCCUGGUUCGCAUCCAGGAGGUCGGGGGUUCAAAUCCCCCCCAGUCCACCA